This is a long non-coding RNA of Lutra lutra (Eurasian river otter), 1203 nucleotides long. RefSeq lists it as uncharacterized. Lineage: Eukaryota; Metazoa; Chordata; Mammalia; Carnivora; Mustelidae. The record is from RefSeq and is a predicted model, not a curated record. The transcript has 4 exons.
GCGGGGCAGGAGAGCGGCUGGCGGGCUCCUUGUGCACCUGCGGAAGACGCGGGGCUCCCACCGGGGACGGAGUGAAAAAGGCGGAAACGGAACAUGGUCUUACUGCCCGGAAACCCUCUUGCAUCCUUUUCUGUACGGACGAACACAGUUGUACACAGCUCCUUUUUUCAGUAGGGUGGAGUUUCCUGAACACAGAGGCCGAUGUAAAAAACCAGCUGUCUUACUCUAUGAGACAUUUCAUUGUUGCUUUGAAAUGAAUGGACGAAUGAAGUUUGAACCUUUCUGCUCCUGAGUGGAAACUCAGAGACAGAGCGCCUUCAGGAAUAUGGAAAAGCUCCUCGGAGUGAAGUGUGCAUGCAUAGGACCUCCAACUCCUAAUUGUCUGUGACAAGGCUGAUGUAGGGAGGUGCCAUAAUCCUGCUGAUCUCUGGGACCUCAGCUCUGGACCAUCACCAGCUCUAGAGCCAUCACCAUGGACAGGGAGUGAGCGGCUGUGCACGUUACCCCCAGAUCAUAUGACUUGCUGGCUAAUGCCCUUCAGAGGCUGUUAACUGCUUUUGGGAUAGACUCCAAACUCCUGCCAGGACCUAAGAGGUCACAGGAGACCUUGGACCUCCUGCCUCCUUGAUCUCCUUGAUCCCAAUCCACUUCAGUGCCCUAACCACUGAGCUCUUCCUUCCUCAAAGACGCUCAGCUCCCUCCAGCCUGAGGGCUGCUGAUUCUUCUCUUCUCUCUCCUGGAUGUUCACUGGGUCAGGAAGAGGAGGUGAGCUUUGCAGAGUGAUCGAGCCCCUCCCAGAACAGGUAGUUGAAGACUCUACCUGGAGAGGAAGCAUCCUGGUUGUGCCCAGACCCGCGAACACCUGCUCCAGCCAAGGUGGGUUUCCACGUCAACCGUGUGUGCUCAUCAUGGAUUAAUCUGGAGAAAAGGGGAAUCAGAACCGUGAUCUCUACUCUCUGAGUUAGGAAAAAAGAAAACAAAACAAAACUGGGACAGAACAUGGCAUCGAAACCAUGAAAGAAAUUUUGAAAAACUUCUUUUCUUUUAAUUUAAGAAGCUAAUACUAUAUGCUGUCAUUAUAGAGUAUUUGGAAAUAUACAAUUGUGGAAGGAAGAAAAAUUUACCCUGAGAUGAACAGAAGAAAAUCAUGUUUUUGUCUGUGUAAUGUUUCUUUUGCUUAAUAAACAUAUUUGUGUAUACACA